AUAGAGUCCAAGACUUGAACCCUGGGCUAACUGUGAGGGUUUUUUGCAAGCGACAUUUGUUAUUUACAAAGCGCAACUCUCUUUCUCACUCUCUCUCUCUCUAAAGUUUUCGUCUUCUUACAAGGUUAGUUAUAAGGAGUGGGCUUGUUACAACAGCAAGGGUCAACAAAAUGGGUCAGCUGCAAUGGAGGGAAUAGUGUGACCUUCUUUUUUGCCUCCAAAAAGAAAAGAAAAGAAAAAAAAAAAAAAA
RNAcentral lists this unclassified non-coding RNA (250 nucleotides) under Hevea brasiliensis (rubber tree). Lineage: Eukaryota; Viridiplantae; Streptophyta; Magnoliopsida; Malpighiales; Euphorbiaceae. The record is from RNAcentral.